Molecule: ribosomal RNA, 253 nt
Filed under: uncultured bacterium
Lineage: Bacteria
Description: partial 16S ribosomal RNA
Rfam family: Bacterial small subunit ribosomal RNA
Source: RNAcentral
UACAGGGGGUGCAAGCGUUGUUCGGAAUUAUUGGGCGUAAAGCGCGUGUAGGCGGCUUUGCAAGUCGGGUGUGAAAGCCCUCAGCUUAACUGAGGAAGUGCGCCCGAAACUGCAGAGCUUGAGUACCGGAGAGGAUGGCGGAAUUCCCCAAGUAGAGGUGAAAUUCGUAGAUAUGGGGAGGAACACCGGUGGCGAAGGCGGCCAUCUGGACGGAUACUGACGCUGAGACGCGAAAGCGUGGGUAGCAAACAGG